RNAcentral lists this ribosomal RNA (325 nucleotides) under Colletotrichum gloeosporioides. RNAcentral describes it as "partial large subunit ribosomal RNA". It matches the Rfam family "Eukaryotic large subunit ribosomal RNA", at positions 324 to 668 of the family's 3401-position model. The record is from RNAcentral. Lineage: Eukaryota; Fungi; Ascomycota; Sordariomycetes; Glomerellales; Glomerellaceae.
CGGCCAGAGACCGAUAGCGCACAAGUAGAGUGAUCGAAAGAUGAAAAGCACUUUGAAAAGAGGGUUAAACAGCACGUGAAAUUGUUAAAAGGGAAGCGCUUGUGACCAGACUUGCGUCCGGUGAAUCACCCAGCUCUCGCGGCUGGGGCACUUCGCCGGCUCAGGCCAGCAUCAGCUCGCUGUCGGGGACAAAAGCUUCAGGAACGUAGCUCUCUUCGGGGAGUGUUAUAGCCUGCUGCAUAAUACCCUUCGGCGGGCUGAGGUACGCGCUCCGCAAGGAUGCUGGCAUAAUGGUCAUCAGCGACCCGUCUUGAAACACGGACGA